AUUGAACGCUGGCGGCAUGCUUUACACAUGCAAGUCGAACGGCAGCACGGGCUUCGGCCUGGUGGCGAGUGGCGAACGGGUGAGUAAUAUAUCGGAACGUACCCAGAAGUGGGGGAUAACGUAGCGAAAGUUACGCUAAUACCGCAUACGAUCUAUGGCUGAAAGCAGGGGGCCGCAAGGCCUUGUGCUCCUGGGGCGGCCGAUAUCUGAUUAGCUAGUUGGUGAGGUAAAGGCUGACCAAGGCGACGAUCAGUAGCUGGUCUGAGAGGACGACCAGCCACACUGGAACUGAGACACGGUCCAGACUCCUACGGGAGGCAGCAGUGGGGAAUUUUGGACAAUGGGCGCAAGCCUGAUCCAGCAAUGCCGCGUGAGUGAAGAAGGCCUUCGGGUUGUAAAGCUCUUUUGUCAGGGAAGAAACGGUAGAGGCUAAUAUCCUUUGCUAAUGACGGUACCUGAAGAAUAAGCACCGGCUAACUACGUG
RNAcentral lists this ribosomal RNA (484 nucleotides) under uncultured bacterium. RNAcentral describes it as "partial 16S ribosomal RNA". It matches the Rfam family "Bacterial small subunit ribosomal RNA", at positions 30 to 507 of the family's 1533-position model. The record is from RNAcentral.